GGCCUAUUAGGUCUCGUAAUUGGAAUGAGAACAAUUUAAAUACCUUAACGAGGAACAAUUAGAGGGCAAGUCUGGUGCUAGCAGCCGCGGUAAUUCCAGCUCUGAUAGUAUAUAUUAAAGUUGUUGCAGUUAAAAAGCUCGUAGUUGAAACUUGGGUGCGUAGGGGCGGUCUCUUUUAGAGUACUACCCUGAAACAUCUUUCUUUGGUGUAAACUCUUUAUUCACUUAAGGAGUGUAAACCAAACAUUUACUUUGAAAAAAUUAGAGUGUUCAAAGCAGGCCUUUGCUCGAAUAUAUUGGCAUGGAAUAAUAGAAUAGGACGUAUGGUUCUAUUUUGUUGGUUUCUAGGACCGUCGUAAUGAUUAAUAGGGACGGUCGGGGGCAUCAGUAUUCAGUUGUCAGAGGUGAAAUUCUUGGAUUUACUGAAGACUAACUACUGCGAAAGCAUUUGCCAAGGACGUUUUCAUUAAUCAAGAACGAAAGUUAGGGGAUCGAAGACGAUCAGAUACCGUCGUAGUCUUAACCGUAAACUAUGCCGACUAGGGAUCGGAGGGCGUUAUAAUAACCUCUCCGGCACCUUACGAGAAAUCAAAGUUUUUGGGUUCUGGGGGGAGUAUGGUUGCAAGGCUGAAACUUAAAGGAAUUGACGGAAGGGCACCACCAGGAGUGGAGCCUGCGGCUUAAUUUGACCCAACACGGGGAAACUCACCAGGUCCAGACACAAUAAGGAUUGACAGAUUGAGAGCUCUUUCAUGAUUUUGUGGGUGGUGGUGCAUGGCCGUUCUUAGUUGGUGGAGUGAUUUGUCUGCUUAAUUGCGAUAACGAACGAGACCUUAACCUGCUAAAUAGCUGUAACAAUAGAUUAUUGUUUUGACAGCUUCUUAGAGGGACUAUCGAUUUUCAAGUCGAUGGAAGUUUGAGGCAAUAACAGGUCUGUGAUGCCCUUAGACGUUCUGGGCCGCACGCGCGCUACACUGACGGAGCCAGCGAGUCUAACCUGUGCCGAGAGGUAUGGGUAAUCUUGUGAAACUCCGUCGUGCUGGGGAUAGAGCAUUGCAAUUAUUGCUCUUCAACGAGGAAAUCCUAGUAAGCGCAAGUCAUCAGCUUGCGUUGAUUACGUCCCUGCCCUUUGUACACACCGCCCGUCGCUACUACCGAUUGAAUGGCUUAGUGAGGCUUCCGGAUUGAUUAACUGGAGAGGGCAACUUUUCUGGUUGAACGAGAAGCUAGUCAAACUUGGUCAUUUAGA
This 1249-nucleotide ribosomal RNA is filed under the name metagenome. RNAcentral's name for it is "SSU rRNA". It matches the Rfam family "Eukaryotic small subunit ribosomal RNA", at positions 489 to 1777 of the family's 1831-position model. The record is from RNAcentral.